This 510-nucleotide ribosomal RNA is filed under the name uncultured Acaulospora. RNAcentral describes it as "SSU rRNA". It matches the Rfam family "Eukaryotic small subunit ribosomal RNA", at positions 569 to 1078 of the family's 1831-position model. The record is from RNAcentral. Lineage: Eukaryota; Fungi; Glomeromycota; Glomeromycetes; Diversisporales; Acaulosporaceae.
AGCAGCCGCGGUAAUUCCAGCUCCAAUAGCGUAUAUUAAAGUUGUUGCAGUUAAAAAGCUCGUAGUUGAAUUUCGGGAUUUGUCAGUUGGUCGGGCUUCACUGUCCGCACUAACUUGAUGGAUUCUUACCUUCUGAAUAACCAGCAUGCUAUUUAGUUAGUGCGUUGGGGAAGCAGAUCUAUUACCUUGAAAAAAUUAGAGUGCUUAAAGCGGGCUAGUGCUUGAAUAGAUUAGCAUGGAAUAAUAAAAUAGGACGGCAUGGUUCUAUUUUGUUGGUUUCUAGGAUCACCGUAAUGAUUAAUAGGGAUAGUUGGGGGCAUUAGUAUUCAAUUGUCAGAGGUGAAAUUCUUGGAUUUAUUGAAGACUAACUUCUGCGAAAGCAUUUGCCAAGGAUGUUUUCAUUAAUCAAGAACGAAAGUUAGGGGAUCGAAGACGAUCAGAUACCGUCGUAGUCUUAACCAUAAACUAUGCCGACUAGGAAUCGGACGAAGUUAAUUUUAUAAUGACUCG